Molecule: long non-coding RNA, 2152 nt
Filed under: Homo sapiens (human)
Lineage: Eukaryota; Metazoa; Chordata; Mammalia; Primates; Hominidae
Description: HSALNT0224715
Source: RNAcentral
AAAGGACUAAGAGGAACAAUUGGCUCUAAAGAUGACGCUGGUUAUUUUCAUUCUCUGGGAAUCCUCGCACUGUGCAGUCCCGCAGGGAGGGAGCAUAGACGACUAAUGACAUGGCCAGGGAACGGGGGAGUGGAGGAGAGGAAACCUGCCGUUUUAUUUUGUGUCUGAAUGUUGUUUUGGUGGCAUAUCUGAAUCUCAGAAUGAAAGCUGAGAUACUGAGCUUGUGGAUCAUAAUGGUUGCCUGGAUUUCCCCCUCCUAACUGCCUUUACCCAACAAAAAUCCAGAGGCUCACAGGACAUAAAAGGCUGAAAACCCAGGAUCCUGACUAUGGAUGGUCAGUUUCUCAGGGAAAUUACUCCUCACACAGGACAGAUGGGAUGACCAAGGAAGAGGAGUUCCUACUUCCUCCAUAGGAAAAAGAGAGGAAGGUUCUGCAGAGGGGAUGCUGGCUGGUUCCCCAACCAAAUAGCCUGACAGUCACCUCCUGGCUGCCUGAGGAUGGCAUUCUCACCUUGCUGAAUCUAUCUGUGCAAUUGCAACUCCCAGAAAGGCGCAGUGGGCCUCCGUGAAAUGCAUGGGUGGUUGCAGAGUAUGCCCUGGGAUGUAAAAUAAUGCAGUAUGUACUUUCUGAAGUAAGAAUGAAAUUGAUGAAAAAGGUGACACUUGAGAUUCUGAGAUUGAAAAGGAAACUGACAUGUAAGAAUUGAAUUCAGGUAAACUAAAAAUAAAAUUGUGGAAUCAAACUUCAAUUCUGAUGCAGUGAAGACCAGAAUUGAAAUCACAAAAAGCCAAAUAAAUAAUGUAGAAAACAAGGUAGAGAAUUUUUCUAUCAAUGCAGAGAAAAGAAACAAAAAAUGAUGACAGAAAAGAUAGGUAAGUUGGUCCAUCAAAAACAAAGACUUACUCUAUGGACAAGAAGGACCCAAGGGAAAUAUAACCAGAACAAAUGACGUUGCUUUACCAUGGAGAAAAACGGAAUAAAAACUUGAGCUAGAAAAAAGAAAUGUACAACUUAAAAUACUGCACCAUGUUCCGGGCAAAAGUAAAGAUGUACACAGACAUAAUCUAGCAAAUUUGUUCAAAUGGAAAAGAUUUUAAAAUAUUCUACAAACAUCCAGACAAAACAAAUGUUACUUAUGAUAAAAAAUGAGAAUAGGCUGAAUUAAGGGUACAGCACAAGACUAGAUGCUACAUGAGAAAUGAGUAAAGUCUAAAUGGUACUAGAAAGUGCUUAUGACUCAAGCUGAAAUGUUAAUUUGCAAAGAAAACAAAAAGAGAUUCUUAGAUAUUCUAGUCAAGGGUUCAAAAAAGAUACCACCCAUGCAUUUUCUUGAAAACAUUAAAGAUACGUUCCAGUGAAACAACAUGUUAAAGACAAAAACUCAAUAGCAAAAAUGAGUUCAAAAGAAUUGUGAUAACCCCAGCUUAACAUACUAAAUUAAGUUUAAAAAAGUUGUAAAUAAAGUACAGUUGGAAAUUUUUCUUGAGAUAGAAUAAAAGUAAUAAAUAUGUCCAUAAUUCUAAAUGAAGUUGGCAAGAAUGGGGGAAAAGGAGUGUAUGUGGGAAAGAAGAGUAUGAAAUUCUUCAUCUUGUAAAGUAAGUCAAAAGUUAUAUCAUUCAUGAAUUUGAUGAUUAGAGAAUGUAUGCAUUCAAGUGUGAUCUUAAAAAAUAAAAUUUGGGCUAGGCACAGUGGCUCACGCCUGUAAUCCUAGCACUUUGGGAAUGCCGAGGUGGGCAGAUCACUUGAGGUCAGGAGUUCAGGACCAGCCUGGCCAACAUGGCGAAAACCUGCCUCUACCAAAAAAUAGAAAAAAAUUAGUUGAUCGUGGUGGCACGCGCCUGUAAUCCCAGCUACUCGGGAGGCUGAGGCAGGAGAAUCAGUCGAACCCAGGAGGCAGAGGUUUCAGUGAACCAAGAUUGCGCCACUACACUCCAGCCUGAGUGACAGAGCAAGACUCCAUCUCAAACAAACAAAAACUGAAUUUGAAGAAUUCAAAGAAAAUACAUACUUAUAGAAAUGGGGAAAAUAAAAACCAAGAAAAAUGUUAAUGCACGUUCAGUAUCCCUUAUCUGAAAUGGUUGGGGCCAGAAGUGUUUUGGAUUUGGGAGAUUUUCAAAUUGGGGAAUAUUUGCAGAGUGUAUACCAGUUGA